Molecule: ribosomal RNA, 492 nt
Filed under: uncultured bacterium
Lineage: Bacteria
Description: partial 16S ribosomal RNA
Rfam family: Bacterial small subunit ribosomal RNA
Source: RNAcentral
AGUGAACGCUGGCGGUAGGCCUAACACAUGCAAGUCGAACGGCAGCACAGUAAGAGCUUGCUCUUACGGGUGGCGAGUGGCGGACGGGUGAGGAAUACAUCGGAAUCUACUUUUUCGUGGGGGAUAACGUAGGGAAACUUACGCUAAUACCGCAUACGACCUACGGGUGAAAGCAGGGGAUCUUCGGACCUUGCGCGAUUGAAUGAGCCGAUGUCGGAUUAGCUAGUUGGCGGGGUAAAGGCCCACCAAGGCGACGAUCCGUAGCUGGUCUGAGAGGAUGAUCAGCCACACUGGAACUGAGACACGGUCCAGACUCCUACGGGAGGGAGCAGUGGGGAAUAGUGGACAAUGGGCGCAAGCCUGGUCCAGCCAUACCGCGUGGGUGAAGAAGGCCUUCGGGUUGUAAAGCCCUUUUGUUGGGAAAGAAAAGCAGCAGGUUAAUACCCCGCUGUUCUGACGGUACCCAAAGAAUAAGCACCGGCUAACUUCGUG